RNAcentral lists this ribosomal RNA (1551 nucleotides) under Klebsiella pneumoniae. Its description in RNAcentral is "bacterial SSU rRNA". It matches the Rfam family "Bacterial small subunit ribosomal RNA". The record is from RNAcentral. Lineage: Bacteria; Pseudomonadati; Pseudomonadota; Gammaproteobacteria; Enterobacterales; Enterobacteriaceae.
AAAUUGAAGAGUUUGAUCAUGGCUCAGAUUGAACGCUGGCGGCAGGCCUAACACAUGCAAGUCGAGCGGUAGCACAGAGAGCUUGCUCUCGGGUGACGAGCGGCGGACGGGUGAGUAAUGUCUGGGAAACUGCCUGAUGGAGGGGGAUAACUACUGGAAACGGUAGCUAAUACCGCAUAAUGUCGCAAGACCAAAGUGGGGGACCUUCGGGCCUCAUGCCAUCAGAUGUGCCCAGAUGGGAUUAGCUAGUAGGUGGGGUAACGGCUCACCUAGGCGACGAUCCCUAGCUGGUCUGAGAGGAUGACCAGCCACACUGGAACUGAGACACGGUCCAGACUCCUACGGGAGGCAGCAGUGGGGAAUAUUGCACAAUGGGCGCAAGCCUGAUGCAGCCAUGCCGCGUGUGUGAAGAAGGCCUUCGGGUUGUAAAGCACUUUCAGCGGGGAGGAAGGCGUUAAGGUUAAUAACCUUGGCGAUUGACGUUACCCGCAGAAGAAGCACCGGCUAACUCCGUGCCAGCAGCCGCGGUAAUACGGAGGGUGCAAGCGUUAAUCGGAAUUACUGGGCGUAAAGCGCACGCAGGCGGUCUGUCAAGUCGGAUGUGAAAUCCCCGGGCUCAACCUGGGAACUGCAUUCGAAACUGGCAGGCUAGAGUCUUGUAGAGGGGGGUAGAAUUCCAGGUGUAGCGGUGAAAUGCGUAGAGAUCUGGAGGAAUACCGGUGGCGAAGGCGGCCCCCUGGACAAAGACUGACGCUCAGGUGCGAAAGCGUGGGGAGCAAACAGGAUUAGAUACCCUGGUAGUCCACGCCGUAAACGAUGUCGAUUUGGAGGUUGUGCCCUUGAGGCGUGGCUUCCGGAGCUAACGCGUUAAAUCGACCGCCUGGGGAGUACGGCCGCAAGGUUAAAACUCAAAUGAAUUGACGGGGGCCCGCACAAGCGGUGGAGCAUGUGGUUUAAUUCGAUGCAACGCGAAGAACCUUACCUGGUCUUGACAUCCACAGAACUUUCCAGAGAUGGAUUGGUGCCUUCGGGAACUGUGAGACAGGUGCUGCAUGGCUGUCGUCAGCUCGUGUUGUGAAAUGUUGGGUUAAGUCCCGCAACGAGCGCAACCCUUAUCCUUUGUUGCCAGCGGUUCGGCCGGGAACUCAAAGGAGACUGCCAGUGAUAAACUGGAGGAAGGUGGGGAUGACGUCAAGUCAUCAUGGCCCUUACGACCAGGGCUACACACGUGCUACAAUGGCAUAUACAAAGAGAAGCGACCUCGCGAGAGCAAGCGGACCUCAUAAAGUAUGUCGUAGUCCGGAUUGGAGUCUGCAACUCGACUCCAUGAAGUCGGAAUCGCUAGUAAUCGUAGAUCAGAAUGCUACGGUGAAUACGUUCCCGGGCCUUGUACACACCGCCCGUCACACCAUGGGAGUGGGUUGCAAAAAGAAGUAGGUAGCUUAACCUUCGGGAGGGCGCUUACCACUUUGUGAUUCAUGACUGGGGUGAAGUCGUAACAAGGUAACCGUAGGGGAACCUGCGGUUGGAUCACCUCCUUACCUUAAAGAA